Long non-coding RNA from Rhagoletis zephyria (snowberry fruit fly), 100 nucleotides. RefSeq lists it as uncharacterized. NCBI's taxonomy places the organism in Eukaryota, Metazoa, Arthropoda, Insecta, Diptera, Tephritidae. The record is from RefSeq and is a predicted model, not a curated record.
GUAGAGAACCAUCGAAUUGUCGUAAGUUCAAAGAUUUGCGAUACAUACGACAAAUGUUUUAUGAUUAAAAAAAGAUUACAUUUCAUUUAUGUAAUACUUC